Molecule: long non-coding RNA, 521 nt
Filed under: Homo sapiens (human)
Lineage: Eukaryota; Metazoa; Chordata; Mammalia; Primates; Hominidae
Description: HSALNT0181918
Source: RNAcentral
GCAGGGCAGUGGGGCCAGGUUUCUGGGGAAGCCCCAAACCCUUGGUGGUGUGUCCGGAAUUGGUGGGUUCUUGGUCUCACUGACUUCAAGAAUGAAGCCACGGACCCUCACGGUGAGUGUUACAGUUCUUAAAGCAGCACGUCUGGAGUUGUUCGUUCCUCCCGGUGGGCUCGUGGUUUCGCUGGCUUCAGGAGUGAAGCUGCAGAUCUUCGUGGUGAGUGUUACAGCUCAUAAAAGCAGUGUGGACACAAAAAGUGAGCAGUAGCAAGAUUUAUUGCAAAGAGCAAAAGAACAAAGCUUCCACAGUGUGGAAGAGGACGUCAGCAGAUUGCCGCUGGUGGUUCGGGCAGCCUGCUUUUAUUCUCUUAUCUGGCCCCACCCACAUCCUGCUGAUUGGUAGAGCCCAGUGGUCUGUUUUGACAGGGCGCUGAUUGGUGCAUUUAUAAUCCCUGCGCUAGAUACAAAGGUUCUCCACUUCCCCAUCAGAUUAGUUAGAUACAGAGUAUGGACAGGAAGGUUCU